GAUGAACGCUAGCGGCAGGCCUAAUACAUGCAAGUCGAGGGGUAACGUGUUCUGCUUGCAGAAUGACGACGACCGGCGCACGGGUGCGUAACGCGUAUGCAACCUACCUUAUACAGGGGGAUAGCCCAGAGAAAUUUGGAUUAAUACCCCAUAGUACUCAUUUACCUCAUGGUUUAUGAUUUAAAACUCCGGUGGUAUAAGAUGGGCAUGCGUUAGAUUAGCUAGUUGGUAAGGUAACGGCUUACCAAGGCGACGAUCUAUAGGGGGUCUGAGAGGAUGAUCCCCCACACUGGAACUGAGACACGGUCCAGACUCCUACGGGAGGCAGCAGUAAGGAAUAUUGGUCAAUGGAGGCAACUCUGAACCAGCCAUGCCGCGUGUGCGAAGAAGGCGUUCUGCGUCGUAAAGCACUUUUAAAUAGGAAGAAACGCUCUUUGCGAAGAGCUAUGACGGUACUAUCAGAAUAAGGACCGGCUAACUCCG
This 483-nucleotide ribosomal RNA is filed under the name uncultured Flammeovirgaceae bacterium. Its description in RNAcentral is "bacterial SSU rRNA". It matches the Rfam family "Bacterial small subunit ribosomal RNA", at positions 28 to 505 of the family's 1533-position model. The record is from RNAcentral. Lineage: Bacteria; Pseudomonadati; Bacteroidota; Cytophagia; Cytophagales; Flammeovirgaceae.